GGUUAAGCGACUAAGCGUACACGGUGGAUGCCCUGGCAGUCAGAGGCGAUGAAGGACGUGCUAAUCUGCGAUAAGCGUCGGUAAGGUGAUAUGAACCGUUAUAACCGGCGAUUUCCGAAUGGGGAAACCCAGUGUGU
This 137-nucleotide ribosomal RNA is filed under the name Escherichia coli. Its description in RNAcentral is "partial 23S ribosomal RNA". It matches the Rfam family "Bacterial large subunit ribosomal RNA", at positions 1 to 136 of the family's 2925-position model. Lineage: Bacteria; Pseudomonadati; Pseudomonadota; Gammaproteobacteria; Enterobacterales; Enterobacteriaceae. RNAcentral also lists the same sequence under 2 other names. The record is from RNAcentral.